RNAcentral lists this ribosomal RNA (462 nucleotides) under uncultured bacterium. RNAcentral describes it as "bacterial SSU rRNA". It matches the Rfam family "Bacterial small subunit ribosomal RNA", at positions 79 to 518 of the family's 1533-position model. The record is from RNAcentral.
GUACUUGUAACACUUAGUGGCGAACGGGUGAGUAACGCGUAGACAACCUACCUUUAGAUGGGGACAACAGAUCGAAAGGUCUGCUAAUACCGAAUGUUGCAAUUUGAGCGCAUGCUCGAAUUACUAAAGAUGGCCUCUAUUUAUAAGCUAUUGCUAAAAGAUGGGUCUGCGUCUGAUUAGCUAGUUGGCGGGGUAAUGGCCCACCAAGGCAACGAUCAGUAGCCGGUCUGAGAGGAUGAACGGCCACACUGGGACUGAGACACGGCCCAGACUCCUACGGGAGGCAGCAGUGGGGAAUCUUCCGCAAUGGACGAAAGUCUGACGGAGCAACGCCGCGUGAGUGAUGAAGGUUUUCGGAUCGUAAAGCUCUGUUUUCAAGGACGAAUGUAUAGAUUGUAAAUAAUGAUUUAUAAUGACGGUACUUGACAAGAAAGCCACGGCUAACUACGUGCCAGCCGCCGC